This 3567-nucleotide long non-coding RNA is filed under the name Jatropha curcas. RNAcentral describes it as "long non-coding RNA (JCUR_LNC003373)". Lineage: Eukaryota; Viridiplantae; Streptophyta; Magnoliopsida; Malpighiales; Euphorbiaceae. The record is from RNAcentral.
UUGAGUUUACUUUGGUUGGGUGAAUCGUGAGCUUCUGAUUUUGAGCUCUUUUUUGAUGUUCAAUCUUUUGCUUGAAAAAAGGCGAAUUUGAGCCUCUUUUAUAUUAAAUCAAGGUCAGCUUUAGUUCUACAUUCACCGAAUGUUGUUGGUUUGUGAAUACAGUUUUGCGUAAUUUUGAUCCUUCUUGUUGUUAGUAUGUUAUCAUUGUUUGGCAUAAUUUUGGUCCUUGUUUCUCAUGUUGGCAACAGUCCUUAUAAUCUGCUUUCUUUCUUGUGUGUCUGAGUGGCUGUCUGGCGAACUUUGGGCUGGUGACUCUGUGAGCUUCUGAUUUUGAGCUGUUUUGUGAUGUUCAAUCUUCUGCUUGAAAAAGGCGAAUCUCAGGCUCUUUUUGUUUGCUUAAAUCUAGGUCGGCUUUAGUUUUACAUUCGAUGAAUGUUGUUGGUAUGUGAACAAAGUUUGGGGUAAUUUUGAUCCUUGUUGAUCCUUGUAGUUCUUGGUAUGUGAACAAAGUUUGGCAUAAUUUUGAUCCUUGUUUCUCAUGUUGGCAACAGCCCUUGUACCUAUAUAUCUGCUUUCUUCCUUGUAUGUGUGGCUGUCUGUCUAACUUUGGGUAGGUAACUAAUGAAAUUCUGAUUUUGUAUUUUUUUGUGGUGUUCAAUCUUCUGCUUGAAAAAGGCGAAUCUGAGCGUCGUUUUAUAUGCUUAAAUAAAGGUCGUCUUUAGUUUUACAUUCGGUGAAUGUUGUUUGUAUCUGAAUAAUGUUUGGCAUAAUUUUGAUCCUUGUUUCUCAUGUUGGCAACAGCCCUUAUGCCAAUAUAUCUCCUUCCUUGUGUGUGAGUGGCUGUCUGAAGAACUUUGGGUGGGUGACUUUUGAGCUCCUGAUUUUGAGCUCUUUUGUGAUGUUCAAUCUUCUGCUUGAUAAAGGCGAAUUUGAGCCUCCUUUUAUAUGCUUAAAUCAUGGUUGGUUUUAGUUUUACAUUCGUUGAAUGUUGUUGGUAUGAGAACAAAGUUGGGCACAAUUUCGAUCUUUGUUUCACAUGAUGGCAACAGCCUGUCUACCAAUAUAUCUGCUUUCUUUCUUGUGUGUGUGAAUGACUGUCUGGCGAACUUUGGUGGGUGACUCGUGAGCUUCUGGUUUUGAGCUCUUUUGAUGUUCAGUCUUCUGCUUGAAAAUUUCGAAUCUGAGCCUCCUUUUAUAUGCUUAAAUCAUGGUUGGUUUUAGUUUUACAUUCGUUGAAUGUUGUUGGUAUGAGAACAAAGUUGGGCACAAUUUCGAUCUUUGUUUCACAUGAUGGCAACAGCCUGUCUACCAAUAUAUCUGCUUUCUUUCUUGUGUGUGUGAAUGACUGUCUGGCGAACUUUGGUGGGUGACUCGUGAGCUUCUGCUUUUGAGCUCUUUUGAUGUUCAGUCUUCUGCUUGAAAAUUUCGAAUCUGAGCCUCCUUUUAUAUGCUUAAAUUAAGGUAGGCUUGAGUUUACUUUGGUUGGGUGACGCUUGUGCUUCUGAUUUUGGGCUCUUUUGUGAUGUUCAAUCUUCCGCUUGAAAAAUGCGAAUGUGAGUCUCCUUUUAUAUGCUUAAAUCAAAGUCGGCUUUAGUUUUACAUUCGGUGAUUUUUUUUUUUAUUUUUGGUAUGUGAACAAAGUUUGGCAUUAUUUUGAUCCUUUUUUUUUUUUCAUUUUGUCAACUGCCCUCAUACGAACAUAUCUGCUUUCUUUCUUGUGUGUGUGUGUGGUUGUCUGGCAAACUUUGGGUGGGUUACUCGUGAGCUUCUGAUUUUGAGUUCUUUUGUGAUGUUCAAUCUUCUGGCGAACUUUUGGGUGGGUUACUCGUGAGCUUCUGAUUUUGAGUUCUUUUGUGAUGUUCAAUUUUCUGAUUGAAAAAGGCUAAUCAAAGCCUCCUUUUCUAUGCUGAAAUCAAGGUCGGCUUUAGUUUACUUUGGUGAGGUGACUCCGUGAGCUACUGAUUUUGAGAUUUUUUUGUGAUGUUCAGUCUUCUGCUUGAAAAAUGCGAAUCUGAGUCUCCUUUUAUAUGCUUAGAUCAAGGUCGGCUUUAUGUUGUUGGUAUGUGAACAAAGUUUGGCAUAAUUUUGAUUCUUGUUUCUCAUGUUGGCAACAGCCCUUGCACCAAUAUAUCUGCUUUCUUUCUUGUGGGUGUGAGUGGCUGUCUGGCAAACUUUGGUUGGGUGACUCUUGAGCUUCUGAUUUGAGCUCUUUUGUGAUGUUUAUUCUUCUGCUUGAAAAUGCGAAUUUGAGCCUCCUUUUGUAUGCUCAAGUCAAUGUCGGCUUUAGUUUUACAUUCAGUGAAUGUUGUUGUUGGUACGUGAAUAAAGUUUGGCAUAAUAUGGAUCCUUGUUUCUUAUGUUGGCAACAGCCCUUAUACCAAUAUAUUUUCUUUCUUGUGGGUGUGAGUGGCUGUUUGGCGAACUUUGGGUGGGUGACUCGAGAGCUUCUGAUUUUUAGCUCUUUUGUGAUGUUCAAUCUUUUGCUUGAAAAUGGUGAAUUGGAGCUUCCUUUUAUAUGCUUGAAUCAAGGCUGGCUUGAGUUUACUUUUGUUGGGUGACUCGUGAGCUUCUGAAUUUGAUCUCUUUUGUGAUGUUCAAUCUUCUACUUGAAACAGGCGAAUUUGACCCUCCUUUUAUAUUAACUCAAGGUAUGCUUUAGUUUUACAUUCGCCAAAUGUUGUUGGUUCGUGAAUAAAGUUUUGCAUAAUUUUGAUCCUUGUUGUUGUUGGUAUGUGAACAAAUGAUCCUUGUUUCUCAUGUUGGCAACAACGCUUAUAUCAAUAUAUCUGCUUUCUUUCUCGUGUGUGAGUAGCUAUCUAGGGAACUUUGGGUGAGUGACUCGUGAGCUUUUGAUUUUGAACUCUUUUGUGAUGUUCAAUUUUAUGCUUGGAAAGGCGAAUUUGAGUCUCCUUUUAUAUGCUUUUAAAUCAAGGUAGGCUUUGAUUUUUACCUUGUUUAGGUGACUCGUGAGCUUCUGAUUUUCAGCUCUUUUGUGAUGUUCAAUCUUCUGCUUGAAUAAGGCAAAUCUUAGCCUCUUUUUAUAUGCAAAACAAGGUCGCUUUAGUUUUACAUUCGGUGAAUGUUGUACGCAUGUGAAUAAAUUUUGGCAUUAUUUUUAUCCUUGUUUCUCAUGUUGCCAAUAGCCCUUAUAUGAAUAUAUCUGCUUUCUUUCUUGUGUGUGUGAGUGGCUGUCUGACGAACUUUGGGUGGGUAACUCAUGAGCUUCUGAAUUUGAGCUCUUUUGUGAUGUUCAAUCUUCUACUUGAAAAAGGCGAAUUUGAGCCUCCUUUAAUAUUAACUCAAGGUGGGCUUUAGUUUUACAUUCGCCGAAUGUUGUUGGUUUGUGAAUAAAGUUUUGCGUGAUUUUGAUCCUUGUUGUUGGUAUGUGAACAAAGUUUGGCAUAAUUUUGAUCCUUGUUUCUCAUGUUGGCAACAGCUCUUACACCAAUAUAUCUGCUUUCUUUCUUGUGUGUGAGUGGCUGUCUGGCGAACUUUGGGUGGGUGACUUGUGAGCUUUUGAUUUUGAGCUAUUUUGUAAUGCUCAAUUUUAUGCUUGAAAAAGGCGAG